Molecule: long non-coding RNA, 570 nt
Filed under: Brassica napus (rape)
Lineage: Eukaryota; Viridiplantae; Streptophyta; Magnoliopsida; Brassicales; Brassicaceae
Description: long non-coding RNA (BNAP_LNC017726)
Source: RNAcentral
UAUUGAUACACAUGUAUAUGCACCAAUUAUUGUAUACUAUAUGUUAGAUAUUUAAAAUAUUAGAUAAAAACUAAUCUAAAUUGGAAAAUAUGGUUUUGAAAGAUUAAUUCAAGAUUGGUACCUACCUUUUAAGAAAUAGUGAUUUGAAUGAGAAUGAGCCUGCCCAAACAAUAGAGAUCGGGAGAAUGUUCGGAGAGAUGUGUCCCGAAUGGUUGUCCAUAUCACUUCUAUGAUGUUUUGUUGUCAACCUUUUCGUUUUUUUUUUUGGUUUUGUUGUCAAUCUUAUAUUGUUGUUUUAUUGAUAAGAUGAAUUCUUUUAAAAACAAAUUUGAAAGCACUAGGGAAAAAAAUAAGUAAAUUAAUAUGUCAACUCCUAUUCUUAAGGAUAUGAUAUUACAUAUUUAUUUCUUUGUUGACUUGUAAGUUUUUUUUUUUUUUAAAAUUAUUUGACUUGUAAGUUCCUGUCAUACUUUAAUGUUUUCUUAAAGACCACCUACAAUUUUCAUUUUUCCACAAAUAUCCAUUUACAUAUUUUUACCCGAAAUUUCUGAGAAGUAACUCAACCUCAUU